Osmerus eperlanus (European smelt) is the source of this 655-nucleotide long non-coding RNA. RefSeq lists it as uncharacterized. The record is from RefSeq and is a predicted model, not a curated record. The transcript has 3 exons. Lineage: Eukaryota; Metazoa; Chordata; Actinopteri; Osmeriformes; Osmeridae.
ACAACAAAUGUUGUCAUACUAAUGCUUUGUAUACAACCAUUCAAGGUAACAUUUGUUAUUUACAUCAAUGUUACAGCUAAUCUAGAAGAACCACAGUGUAUGCCAAUCAUGCUAACUCUUGUAAACUUGUUUUACUUGUCUUUAAUGACAGACACAUUACAGGUUAUGCUCCGGAAGAUGGAGACAUUGGAGGAGAACCAGCGAGAGGCUCUCCUAUUCAGGCGACUACAGGGCAGACACACUGAAGAGGUGCCAGUGAUGGACCUACAGGUGGCCCAAACACAGGCUGAACUCCAAGACCUUGAGGAGCGCCUUAAGGUGCUGGAGUUGCGAAAGAGAGUGACGCUGUGAUGCAGUGGAAGACGGGACUGGGAGAGAAAGCUGUGGAGCUCCUCAUAGAGGAGACACUCAAACACACCCCGGCAGCCCAUUCAAAACAAGCCAGGGCCAACAGACAGGACCUGUAGCGGGGACUGGCAGAAGAUUUUAAUUUACUGUUUGGCACUUUGUUUGAAAUAAAAUGACAAUGUUACAUGGAAAUGCUGCCUUGUUUAUGAUUAGCUUGAGUUAGGCUACACAUCACACAAACAUAGUCCUCCUAAAGUUGGCUACCAUGUAGCCUAUUAUACAAGAACAAGUAGCAUUUUGGGCAAAU